RNAcentral lists this ribosomal RNA (1421 nucleotides) under Clostridioides difficile. RNAcentral describes it as "partial 23S ribosomal RNA". It matches the Rfam family "Bacterial large subunit ribosomal RNA", at positions 1 to 1434 of the family's 2925-position model. Lineage: Bacteria; Bacillati; Bacillota; Clostridia; Peptostreptococcales; Peptostreptococcaceae. The record is from RNAcentral.
GGUCAAGUUAUUAAGGGUGCAGGGCGGAUGCCUUGGCACUAGGAGCCGAUGAAGGACGUGAUAAGCUGCGAUAAGCUUCGGGGAGUUGCACGUAAACUUUGAUCCGAAGAUUUCCGAAUGAGGAAACUCACUUAGAGUAAUGUCUAAGUAUCAUUAAGUGAAUACAUAGCUUAAUGAGGGGAACUCAGGGAACUGAAACAUCUAAGUACCUGAAGGAAGAGAAAGAAAUUCGAUUCCGUAAGUAGCGGCGAGCGAACGCGGAUUAGCCCAAACCAAUAAAGUUUUCUUUAUUGGGGUUGAGGACAUACCACAUAUAAGAGGUCAUUAUAGACGAAGAAGUUUGGAAAAACUCAUCAUAGAAGGUAAUAAUCCUGUAGUCAAAAUAAUAAUUCUUUAGGUAUGAUCCAGAGUACCACGGGACACGUGAAACCCUGUGGGAAGCAGGAGGGACCACCCUCCAAGGCUAAAUACUACCUAGUGACCGAUAGCGUAUAGUACCGUGAGGGAAAGGUGAAAAGAACCCCGGGAGGGGAGUGAAAUAGAACCUGAAACCCUGCACUUACAAGCUGUGGAAGCACAUUUCUUGUGUGACCGCGUACUUUUUGUAGAACGGGCCAACGAGUUACGUUAAGUAGCAAGGUUAAGCACUUAAGGUGCGGAGCCGUAGCGAAAGCGAGUUUUAACUGAGCGUUCAGUUACUUGACGUAGACCCGAAACCGGGCGACCUACCCAUGAGCAGGAUGAAGCGAAAGUAAAAUUUCGUGGAGGUCCGAACCCACGAGCGUUGAAAAGCUCGGGGAUGACUUGUGGGUAGCGGUGAAAUUCCAAUCGAGCCCGGAGAUAGCUGGUUCUCCCCGAAAUAGCUUUAGGGCUAGCCUCAAGGUGAGAGAUACGGAGGUAGAGCACUGAAUGUCCUAGGGGGUAUUGCACCUACCGAAGACUAUCAAACUCCGAAUGCCGUCAUCUUAUACUUGGGAGUCAGACUGUGGGUGAUAAGAUUCAUAGUCGAAAGGGCAACAGCCCAGAUCGUCAGCUAAGGUCCCUAAAUGUAAGUUAAGUGGUAAAGGAUGUGGGAUUGCACAGACAACCAGGAUGUUGGCUUAGAAGCAGCCACUCAUUCAAAGAGUGCGUAAUAGCUCACUGGUCGAGUGAUCCUGCGCCGAAGAUUUCCGGGGCUAAAACUUACUACCGAAGCUACGGCAUCAGUAAUGAUGGGUAGGGGAGCUUCCCAUACGGGUUGAAGCAUGACCGUAAGGACAUGUGGACAGUAUGGGAGUGAGAAUGUUGGCAUGAGUAGCGAGAUGUGGGUGAGAAUCCCACAGGCCGUAAACCCAAGGUUUCCAGGGGAAGGUUCGUCCGCCCUGGGUUAGUCGGGACCUAAGCUGAGGCCGAAAGGCGUAGGUGAUGGACAACAGGUUGAU